AGCUGAGUGUUGGUGACAGACUGAGAGAGAAGGAGUAAAGCACAGCAUUGUGUUUUACAGCAGCCCAGUGGAACAAAGGGAUCUGUGGUGAAAUCCCUCCUGUGAACUGCUGCCAUCCCGAUUCCAGGUGCUCUUCCCACUGGCAAACAGCCUAAGGAGGAGCUGUUUAUAGAUCUCCUUCUGGCAGCUGGAUGAGAAGGGAAUGCCAUGGCAAAGGAGGGAUUACCAAGUUGUAUCCAGAGGGAACAGCAGUGCUGUGUGUUACUCAUAUCACCACUGCAACAGAACCGUGUCUGGGGAAAUCAAGAACUGAGCAGAUCCUUUUUUAGUCCCACUCAUUUUCAGGGUGGCCCUUCCCAAACAAAGACAAGCAGUCAGGACACAUUCCUUGAAGAGUUGGGCCUAACAAUAUGGCAGCGCACGGGCCAGAAGAAAUCUUGCAGAAUGCUGCUGCUGCUGAGCUCCCAGGGCACAAUACGUGUGGUUGUGCAGGAUGUGGCUGUUCCUGCAGGACCACGUGCUCCCUGCCCUUCUGUCUCCAGAGCUCCCUGACUUCUGGGGGGGCUCCUGAAUCCCGUUUUACCUCCAACACGGAAGUUAUCCUGGUUUUUCAAAGAUGCUCAUCCCCUGCAACGUGAAUUUUGAGUGCUGCGAGCUGGACACUUUUAAGAAACCAGCAGCUCUGGGUUUAGGGUGCAGCAGAGCCUGCAGUGCAGCGUGAAGUGAUGCAGAAGUGUGGAUGGCACCGGGAGCUGCUGCGCCUGCUCCUGCUGCUAUUCCUGGCACGCAGAGACUGAGCAGCGUCUGAUGGGCCAAAUGGAAGAACUGAAAAUAGUCCACAGUGAAUUCCUGGAGGAGAUGGGAAAAGAUCUGUGGGCUGCAGGCCCCCAGUCUCUGAUUUACAGUCUCUCCUUUACAGGUCAGAUUCCCAAAAUGUCCCCAACCUUUCUGCGUGUUUCUGAAGUUGAAUUUGGGUUCAGCAGUUUAGGCUCUAAUUGAACAGCCUCAACAGGGCAUCAGAUGGGGAUAACAAAAGCACUCUGGACACAGCAGCUUUCUUCCAAGGACCUCAAUCCCUCCCAGGACACGGUGAGC
Neopelma chrysocephalum (saffron-crested tyrant-manakin) is the source of this 1095-nucleotide long non-coding RNA. RefSeq lists it as uncharacterized. The record is from RefSeq and is a predicted model, not a curated record. NCBI's taxonomy places the organism in Eukaryota, Metazoa, Chordata, Aves, Passeriformes, Pipridae. The transcript is spliced from 11 exons.